Mastomys coucha (southern multimammate mouse) is the source of this 654-nucleotide long non-coding RNA. RefSeq lists it as uncharacterized. The record is from RefSeq and is a predicted model, not a curated record. The transcript has 3 exons. Lineage: Eukaryota; Metazoa; Chordata; Mammalia; Rodentia; Muridae.
AUAGUCUUGGUUAACAAUAGCCUCCUCCUGCUGCUCCUCCUCCGGAUGCUUGGGAAGAUGGAUGAACCUUUGCAGAAAACAGAAGUCUAACCCUGAAAAGGUAGGCACCACCUGUUGCUGUCCCCUGUCUCAGAAUGGAGCCUCCCCAGUGUGGUCUACACAGCCCUACACUUCAGCAUCUACAUAAGUCUACUCAACCUUGAUUGGACCCUCCUGGAAGGCGACCGCAGCGCCGACACGGAUAACCACGGUCUCUUCUAUUUGGCUCUGGAAUUAAUUACACCUUUUAGACAAAUUUCCCUCCCUAAUUAAUCUUUCUUCGGCUAACAUUAAAAUUAACUAGUCGUCUCGGAGCCCAUGCCAACUGGGCAGGGAUUAGAAGCAGAGGAAGUCAAGGGGAGGGGCCGAUGCUGGCUGCCAUUCACCUUGGAUCAACACAGCAGUCAGUGCUGGGGACUGUGUGCUGGCAGGGGCCUCUGUGGUUACAGACUCCAGCCUCCAGGGAGAAGAAGCAUCUGGAAUCACGAAAUGGCUGAAGAGGACCGCCUUUACCUCCCAGCACCAACUCAGAGACUCACAAUCGGCUGUAACUGAGGUCCUAGGGGAUCCAAUGCUCAAUUCUGACCUGUGAGGGCACCAGGAAAAACAAAGAGA